GCUUGUCGGGUGUUAGUUCCGGGCCCAGCUUGGGCUGGUGGUAGGUCGGGAGAGGGCGCGGUCUCCCAGCCUUUGCGCAGAUUGCGGGGCACCAGGUGGGGCCGAGGCGACGCCGAACGCCGGCAGGCCGGAAACCGCGCAGCCCCGCUGGACCUCGCUGAUUGCCGGCGGCACCGGUGGUUUCGCGACCUUGAACAGGACACCUAACAUGAUGCAGCAGAAUUUCUUCUAGGAAUCUAAAGGGACCAUAUGGAGCAAGUUAUAUUCAAGAAAAACAGGACUGUGAGGCUUAGAGUACCAGAGAGGAGGCAACAACUGCAAGUACAAAAAGUCCCAUUUGGCAAAAGAAAUAUGAAGAGCACAGUGUCCUGCACCAGGCUCCAUUACAGCCUGGAGUAAGGCGAAGUUGUUGGGGAAAUCAGACAGCAGGGAGAAUGGGGCCACUGCAGCCCCUCUGACCUUCUUUCCCUGGACUUUCUCAACAUACUUUCCUGCUCUGCUGUCAUUGCAGCUGCAGGUACUCACUCCAGGGUGGCAGCCAGGGGCUCAGGUGGAGCUGGGCCCCACACCUCUGCACAUUCCCGACCUGAAAACCACUCCAGGCUCCCAGCCUUGACUAUCGGUUCCCUGAGGGUCUUGGACGCUGCCCCAGCACAGGGAUGUCCCUUCUGCCUGGGAACCACCAGAGGCAAGCUCCAAGGAUGUAGUUUGGCACCUUCUUACAAUUAAUUGGUUUUGGACGACUUGGUAAUUUAGAAACUGCUGAGGUGAACCUCCAAUAGAGGAAGUCUGGCAUGGUUCUGUGCCUGACUGUGCCCCGAUUAUGCCUCAAAAUGCCUCUUAAGCCCCUGAUGAUGGGUGUUAGUUUCCUUACAAAGGUGAACAUGCUUCUCAGAAGAUGCUCCUGCCACCUUCUGCAUCAAUAAGCGAAGUUUGGAGGACAAAGUACAGGUUACUUUUGGAACAAUAGGAUCCUCUCUCCCUCUGGCGUUUUGACAGAUUUUCAGAAGUAGAAGGGAAAGACCUAAGACACUAUCCAAACCCAUGGGAUCUAUCACUACCUAUAGGGUGUGACAUGUCACACUAGCUGAGCCACCUGGCCUUAGCUGCAUGUCUGCCAAACAGCCACUUGAAAGCUACCUGUUAGAAAGCAAUGUGCUUGAUACUAGAUACUGCCUGUUAAAUGUGUUACAUGAAUUCUAAAAAAGAUAAAUAAAUAAAUCUUAUUUUUGGUAAAUAUUGUCAGUCUCUAAGACAGAGUAUACUUUAAAUCUUAUACUAUAAUUAUAAAUUUGUCUAUUUCUCCUUAUAGUUCCACCUGUAUUUGAUUUAUGUAUAUUGAAAAUCUGUGGUUGGUUCCACAUAAGAUCUUAACUGUUACGUCUUUUUGGAUAAAUGUUUCUUUUAUCAUUACAAAAUGUUUUUCUUUAUCUCUUUUAGUCUUUUUAAUCUGUAGUACUACCUCUGUUAUUACAUCUGUAGUACUACGUCUGUUAUCACAUCUGUUAUUAUUUGCUUGAUAUUUAUUUUUUAAAAUAUAUCUUUUAUCUCAAAAAAAAAAAAAAAAAAAAAAAAAAAAAAAAAAAAAAAAAAAAAAAAAAA
Molecule: long non-coding RNA, 1602 nt
Filed under: Homo sapiens (human)
Lineage: Eukaryota; Metazoa; Chordata; Mammalia; Primates; Hominidae
Description: uncharacterized LOC645485 (LOC645485)
Source: RNAcentral